This 319-nucleotide unclassified non-coding RNA is filed under the name Melitaea cinxia (Glanville fritillary). Its description in RNAcentral is "misc RNA ENSMCXG00005001358.1". The record is from RNAcentral. Lineage: Eukaryota; Metazoa; Arthropoda; Insecta; Lepidoptera; Nymphalidae.
AAUUUCAUUUCAAAUUAUCGUGACUUAAUAUUCAGUGAAUUACGUUGGUGUUCUGUGAGAAAUUGUUUUUUCUUUUUUAAUUUAUGCGUAUCGUUUUAGGUGUCUAAGUAUUUCAAAUAUAUCUGCACAAAUUGCGUCGAAAAAUUGGAAAAGUCUUACACAUUUAAAAGUCAAACGAUUAAAACGAUAGACACGUUGCAAACUAUUAAAGAUGAAGAAUAUCUAGACGAGGCGAUAUUGGAAGAUGAAGAAGAUGAGGUUGGAUCUAAAAAAGGUGUAAAGAAACUCGGUGACUGCGGUGAUGACGAAAAUGAUGAUG